GACGAACGCUGGCGGCGUGCUUAACACAUGCAAGUCGAACGGAAAGGCCCUGCUUGCAGGGUGCUCGAGUGGCGAACGGGUGAGUAACACGUGGGUGAUCUGCCCCUUACUUUGGGAUAAGCCUGGGAAACUGGGUCUAAUACUGGAUAGGACCAUGCUGUAGGGGGUGUGGUGGAAAGAUUAGUUUCGGUAAGGGAUGAGCUCGCGGCCUAUCAGCUUGUUGGUGGGGUAAUGGCCUACCAAGGCGUCGACGGGUAGCCGGCCUGAGAGGGUGGACGGCCACAUUGGGAAUGUGGUACGGGCCAGAAUCCUACGGGAGGCAGCAGUGGGGAAUAUUGCACAAUGGGGGCAAGCCUGAUGCAGCGACGCCGCGUGGGGGAUGACGGCCUUCGGGUUGUAAACUCCUUUCAGCCAUGACGAAGCCCUUGUGGUGACGGUAGUGGUAGAAGAAGCACCGGCUAACUACGUG
RNAcentral lists this ribosomal RNA (469 nucleotides) under uncultured bacterium. Its description in RNAcentral is "partial 16S ribosomal RNA". It matches the Rfam family "Bacterial small subunit ribosomal RNA", at positions 28 to 507 of the family's 1533-position model. The record is from RNAcentral.